GCUCGAUCUUCGUCGGGCUCGCGGUCGGCAUCGGUCUCGGCCCGAUGGUCAUCCGGGAGCUGUCCCGGCGCCGCUGGUUCGGCAUGAGCAUCGUGCUC
Molecule: transfer RNA, 98 nt
Filed under: Polymorphospora rubra
Lineage: Bacteria; Bacillati; Actinomycetota; Actinomycetes; Micromonosporales; Micromonosporaceae
Description: tRNA-Arg
Source: RNAcentral